GUCUAUGGCCAUACCAUCCUGAACGUGCCCAAUCUCGUCUGAUCUCGGAAGCUAAGCAGGGUUGGUUAGUAUUUGGAUGGGAGGAACUGAGAAGAAAGGCCAAGACA
RNAcentral lists this ribosomal RNA (107 nucleotides) under Chinchilla lanigera (long-tailed chinchilla). Lineage: Eukaryota; Metazoa; Chordata; Mammalia; Rodentia; Chinchillidae. The record is from RNAcentral.